Molecule: unclassified non-coding RNA, 220 nt
Filed under: plant metagenome
Description: partial contains small subunit ribosomal RNA, internal transcribed spacer 1, and 5.8S ribosomal RNA
Source: RNAcentral
UUUCCGUUGGUGAACCAGCGGAAGGAUCAUUACAGAGAUCGUGCCCUUCGGGGUAGACCUCCCACCCUGUGUUAUUUACGUAUGUUGCUUUGGCGGGCCGCGUCCGGGCUCUCGGCUUCGGCCGCGGUGGGCCCGCCAGAGAACCUACAACCCUGUGUUUAGUGUCGUCUGAGUAUUAUCAAAUAAGUUAAAACUUUCAACAACGGAUCUCUUGGUUCUG